GGAUGAGAACGACUUCUUCUUUGGGCUCGGUACCUAUUAUGCUACAACAACAACAACAGCACCUCCUGUUGUGUGCUUAAGGAUGAUUAUCGGCUUUUAUGUGGAAACCCUAGAAAUGCACUGUGGUCGACAUACGAGGUGUGGAGGAAGAGCUCAUUUGAUUUUGGAUCAAGACUACGAGCAUUAGCAGUUAAAGAUUAGAGCAGUGGAAUGUCUUUUGGUGGUAGAUCAUUGGAGCCAUAGAUUGAAGACUACUUUUGGAGUUACGUUAGUUGAUGGACUGUUUUAUUAUGUUUUCUUGGGAUAGUGAGUUUAGUAUUCGUGAAACUAUUUGAGAUUGUAUUUGGAGACUUUAUUGUUAAA
Molecule: long non-coding RNA, 363 nt
Organism: Quercus robur (English oak)
Lineage: Eukaryota; Viridiplantae; Streptophyta; Magnoliopsida; Fagales; Fagaceae
Exons: 3
Source: RefSeq, a predicted model, not a curated record